UACAGAGGGUGCAAGCGUUGUUCGGAAUUAUUGGGCGUAAAGGGAGUGUAGGCGGUCCAUUAAGUCUUCUGUGAAAUCUACGGGCUUAGCCUGUAACGUGCAGAGGAAACUGAUGGACUUGAGUGUCGGAGAGGAUAGGGGAAUACCCGGUGUAGAGGUGAAAUUCGUAGAGAUCGGGUGGAACACCAGUGGCGAAGGCGCCUGUCUGGCUGACAACUGACGCUGAGACUCGAAAGCAUGGGGAGCAAACAGG
This 253-nucleotide ribosomal RNA is filed under the name uncultured bacterium. RNAcentral's name for it is "partial 16S ribosomal RNA". It matches the Rfam family "Bacterial small subunit ribosomal RNA", at positions 524 to 776 of the family's 1533-position model. The record is from RNAcentral.